UACGUAGGUGGCAAGCGUUGUCCGGAAUUAUUGGGCGUAAAGGGUGCGUAGGUGGCAUAGAAAGUUUGAUGUGAAAGCUCAGGGCUUAACCCUGAAAUGGCAUUGAAUACUGCUGUGCUGGAGGUUUGGAGGGGGGACUGGAAUUCUUGGUGUAGCAGUGAAAUGCGUAGAUAUCAAGAGGAACACCAGUGGCGAAGGCGAGUCCCUGGACAACACCUGACACUGAGGCACGAAAGCUAGGGGAGCAAACAGG
This 253-nucleotide ribosomal RNA is filed under the name uncultured bacterium. Its description in RNAcentral is "partial 16S ribosomal RNA". It matches the Rfam family "Bacterial small subunit ribosomal RNA", at positions 524 to 776 of the family's 1533-position model. The record is from RNAcentral.